GCCCUCCUGUGGCACAAUGGGUCAGCACAUCUGGCUGUCAACUGGGAGGUUGGUGGUUCGAGCCCAGCCAGGGAUG
This is a non-coding RNA of Podarcis lilfordi (Lilford's wall lizard), 76 nucleotides long. The record is from the annotation of a GenBank genome assembly. Lineage: Eukaryota; Metazoa; Chordata; Lepidosauria; Squamata; Lacertidae.